This 3378-nucleotide long non-coding RNA is filed under the name Brassica napus (rape). RNAcentral's name for it is "long non-coding RNA (BNAP_LNC017889)". Lineage: Eukaryota; Viridiplantae; Streptophyta; Magnoliopsida; Brassicales; Brassicaceae. The record is from RNAcentral.
AAGACAGAAACUAGAUCCAGAGCCAAACGAGUAAACCGAGCCAUCUUGUGUUACAGCUAAAACAUAGCUCGGCCCCGUUGAGAUUUGCACCACAGGGCCAACGCUUUGAAGAAACUCAACAGCUUUGGGUACUGGUCUGUCCAAGGUAUCGCCAUGACCAAGCUGUCCGUGUGUGUUUGAUCCACAAGUAAAAACUCUACCUUCCCUUGAUAGAAACACAGUGAAGUGAAGCCCUGCAGCAACCUGGUACAGAAGAUGAGAUCAGGAAUGUUCUAUUAACUCAAUUUAGAUACAGUUGGUAUCAGUUUUUACCUGCUUACAAGGAGUUCCCUUCAAAGCCUCAACAAGCUUAGGCCUAAAUAUUGGGCGGCUUAUAUCUAAGUGACCACAGCAAUGCGAUGAAUUAUCCCCACAUGUGAGAACCUGUGCAGGUUUUCAAGUAAGCAUACAUACUCAAUAGGACAGAUUUUUAUAGAAAGAAGAAGCAACCAACCUCUCCAGAUUGCAACACAAAAGCAGAAUGGUUCUGUGUGGCAGAGACUUGAGCCACUUGAGCAGAGAAGGGGAAAACUACGAGAACGGCCAUAAUUGAGAAACAUUCUAACUCCCAAGCAGCCACGGAGUGAGUCAUGAUCAAGCUGAGAUCUUUCGUUAUCUCCAAACCCAAGAAUGCCCGACCAUUGAGUCAUCACAUUUAUACAAACAUGAGCUAACUUGAGAAACAUAGUGUGGUUUCAGUCUAGAGAUGUUAAAAUGGGCCUGAAAGCCCGCGGGCUUUAACGAGCUGACCCGUGACCCAUUUAUCAUCACGUAGAAAUAACCGAGUUUAUAUGGGUUGGCCCUUUAUACCCGUUUUGUUAAUGGGCAUAUCCGUUAAAUAAAUUUGUGUCCGUUUAGGUCUAUUAUAGGUUUAUAAAAAAAUUACAAAUUUAUAUUUAGUAGGGGUUAUUGGUUGUUGUAUUUUAAUGGAUUUGAAAAUCCGAACUAAAUCUAGUGUUAUUGGUUCUAUAAUUUUCAAAUCUGUAUUAAAAUCAUGUGUUAUUGGUUUAAUGAUUCAUAAAUUCUGUAUCAAAUCAAGUGUUAUUCAAUCGUACGGAUUUACUAAUAUAUUUGAUUUUAUAAUGGAUUUGAAUGGAUUUGUUUGGAUUUUUUAGUUAAAAAUACAAAGACUCAAAUCCGAGGGAAAACCUCCGGAUUUGCGUAUUUUACUUGGAUUUAUAAAUACUAUAUGGAUUUCUAAAUCAAUCAAAAAUAUAUAAACCAAUAACACCUAAGGAUAUUUUUAAGAAAUUUAUAACUUUUAAAUUUUUUUUUUGAAACAAAAUAGUCAUAUUGUAUUUAGUUUGUGUGUUUUUAUUUUUGAAAAAGUUUUUAUUUUUGUUAUAAUUGUGUGUUUAAAACUUACUAUAACUUGGGUGAAUUGUUAUUUUUGAUCCAAGUCAUGCGAUUGAAAGUUAAAAGACUCUAAUGGAGUAUUGAAACAAUAACAAUAACAACGUCAUUACAUAAAACGUCAUAAUGGAUUAACAUGGUAAGAGAGAAAUAAUAACAAAUUUGUAUUUAAAAAAAACUGUAUGUAAAAAAUAAUAAUAAACGGACUCACGGAUCUAAAGAAACAUUUCCAUUUCCAUGUUAAACGAGUUCACAGUUAAAUGGGUUUUAACGGGUUCACAAUUAAAUGGGCAUACGGUUAACCCGCUUUAAACAAACAUGGUCUAAACAGGCCCGGGUAGUCCGCAUUAACAUUCCUAGUUCAGUCCCAGCCCAGAGCACUACUUUGUUCUGUUUUGAACAUUACUUGUGUUUGCUAGCGUUCCAAAUGAGAGCCUUUGUUCACCACUUUCUUCCCAUAACUUUUUUGUUGUUGUGUGUGCGCUUUCAUCAAGAAUACAAUAACCAAUAAUCACUAAGUAUUCCGUCCCACUAGUCCCUAAGCUGAGCAUAUCUCUUUGUAAUGAGCUUCCAAAACACAUUGCUAUAAAUCCUAGUGGUCCACCGACGAUUUUGGUAACCGACACUUUCUGUUUUUGGAAACCAUCAUUAUUUCCAACUACCCAUUUAUGACAUCCUCGAUUAUUGCACUAUGUAUUUCUUCUAUGGAGUGACCUCAUAGAUUUUCCAAAUUGGAAUCAUUUACCAUUGAUAUUCAAUUUUUUCGCUCUUUCCAAUUGAAUCUAGUCUCAGUUCAUACGAAUUUCAUACAUUCCACAGGUGGAUCGACGUCAUUCCCAUUCCAUUACAAUUCAUACCGGAAAUAUCUUUGGUACAGUCAUGGACUAACAAAAAAACAUCAAAGAGAUACAAAUCAUACAAAAGACACUAACCGGUUAACCCAAUCUCAAGCCGGUUCAUACAAACAAGCUUGUUUUAUUUUUACCUUUUGGAUCAACAAAGUCGGCUACGAGAACGGCCACAAUGAAGAAAGAUCUCGGUAGGUUCCAAGCAGCCACGGAGCGAGUCGUGACCAAGCUGAGCUCUUUCGUUAUCCCCAAACCCGAAUAUGCGACCACCUUGAGUCACCACAAUGGUGUGAUACAAACCUGUGCUUACUUGACACACACGGUGUUGUUUCAGACACUCCAACACUCUUGGCCUCAGGACUUUGUCUGAAACUCCUCUGUCAGGGAACCCUAGGCUUCCAAAUCCCAUCCACCCAAAACCAUACAACAAUCCACCUUCCACUAAUACAAAAGUUUUCCUCUUUCUUGCACACACCUGCAAGACAAUGUAGAGUCAUGAUCAGCAUAUCAGUUCCUGCUCAAGAACUCUUAGAAUACAGGAACAAUCGUUGUGCUUUACACGAAAGAAUCUGACCUGGACAGCGAGGCAGUUGUUGAGACUGACUAAAACUUGAGGAGUGAUCUUGUCGUUUUCAUCUCCAUGGCCUAGAGCACCACAGUAACCUUUACCCCAUGUGUAUACCUAAGGGUUCAAAGAACAAUCAAAACAAGAUUCUUCUGAUUUCUCAAAACCAAAUUGAGACAUAGAGAGAGAGAUGGAAACAAAGAGCUUACACGGCCAAUGGAAUCAAGUGCCACGGCGUGUUCAUCCCCUGCAGAGACACGGAGUAUAUGGAUACCUUUUCUUUUAAAAGCCUGAAUGACACGCGGCUGGUGCUCGUCCUGCUGCUCUCCAUGACCAAGACAGAAACUAGAUCCAGAGCCAAACGAGUAAACCGAGCCAUCUUGUGUUACAGCUAAAACAUAGCUCGGCCCCGUUGAGAUUUGCACCACAGGGCCAACGCUUUGAAGAAACUCAACAGCUUUGGGUACUGGUCUGUCCAAGGUAUCGCCAUGACCAAGCUGUCCGUGUGUGUUUGAUCCACAAGUAAAAACUCUACCUUCCCUUGAUAGAAACACAGUGAAGUGAAGCCCUGCA